CCUUCCCUCCAAGCCGCCCCCUCUUGGCUGUGGAUGUUGGGCUGUUUUGUCCCCUUGCUUCUCCGGGGGGACAGGCCUGAAAGACAGUGGCGAUGCCGUAGUCAACCCCCGAGCGUAUGGGUGUCUUCCGCUCUCUAGGCUUGAUUGGCAUCCGCCGUCCUCCUGCAACUGCAUGCAGUGUUUGACUCC
Molecule: unclassified non-coding RNA, 189 nt
Filed under: uncultured Elaphomyces
Lineage: Eukaryota; Fungi; Ascomycota; Eurotiomycetes; Eurotiales; Elaphomycetaceae
Description: sequence contains ITS2
Source: RNAcentral